CAAGCUAGUUCCCAAAGCAUACCACCGACCGAACUAAUCAUUCCUAAACCAGAUCAUGCAUCAAAAGUUCAUUCUGAAGGAACACGUUCAACCUUGUCCCGGCCAUCCUUUACUGAUCCGCUGGUAACAGCAGAAAGAUUGCAUUCACCUUCUGAUGUACAUGAUCAUAAAGAACCUCAGAUUCCGCACGGACAUGACACUCUCAAAGAUGAAAUCUUACAUCAUAAGAGAAAAGCAGUUGCUUUUAAGAGGGAAGGUAAAAUGGCAGAAGCUAGAGAAGAAUUGAAACAGGCAAAACUCUUAGAAAAACGUCUUGAAGUCUCU
RNAcentral lists this long non-coding RNA (324 nucleotides) under Oryza sativa (Asian cultivated rice). RNAcentral describes it as "long non-coding RNA (OSAT_LNC000612)". The record is from RNAcentral. Lineage: Eukaryota; Viridiplantae; Streptophyta; Magnoliopsida; Poales; Poaceae.